GAUGAACGCUGGCGGCGUGCCUAAUACAUGCAAGUCGAGCGAAGCGGGGACGGGUGAGUACCACGUGGAUAACCUCCUAUAAGACUGGGAUAACUUCGGGAACCCGAAGCUAAACCGGAUCCUUCUAGAUGGUUCCGCGCUGCAUUAGCUAGUUGGUACGGUAACGGCUUACCAAGGCAACGAUGCAUAGCCGAACUGAGAGGAUGAUCGGCCACACGGGAACGGAGACACGGUCCCGACUCCUACGGGAGGCAGCAGUAGGGAAGCUUCCGCAAGGGGCGAAAGCCUGACGGAGCAACGCCGCGUGAGUGAUGAAGGUCUUCGGAUCGUAAAGCUCGGGAAUUAGGGAAGCGGUACCUAAUCAGAAAGCAACGGCUAACUACGUGCCAGCAGCCGCGGUAAUUC
Molecule: ribosomal RNA, 405 nt
Filed under: uncultured bacterium
Lineage: Bacteria
Description: partial 16S ribosomal RNA
Rfam family: Bacterial small subunit ribosomal RNA
Source: RNAcentral